This is an RNA transcript of Pogoniulus pusillus (Red-fronted tinkerbird), 1758 nucleotides long. It is a transcript of the gene named protein disulfide-isomerase TMX3-like, with no coding region annotated. The transcript is spliced from 9 exons. The record is from RefSeq and is a predicted model, not a curated record. NCBI's taxonomy places the organism in Eukaryota, Metazoa, Chordata, Aves, Piciformes, Lybiidae.
UCUGAGAGACUGCAGGUUUUCUUGAUGGCUGAGAUGGAUUAUAAACUUUUACAAGGAGAUUCUAAGGGGUACCUGAGGAAACCUGCAUUUAACUUUUUGUUUUGGCAGCUCGUGGCUAAAAUAUCACUGCUGAUCCAAAUUUGUAACCCUAUGGCUUUGUUGGACUAACAGUUUGCACUGGUAUGGUGGAGGAAUGUUGUCACUGGUGUAUUCUUCAAACUCUUUUAUGCUACCUGUUCAAAUUCUGCCACUGUGGGGAUGAUCUAAGCAGGCUGCAAGAGAGGUUUUGUUGGAUGACAGUAGUAGUUGCUAGUUCUGGGAUUGUUACCUUCUCACUAAUACAUGCAGUGUAAUGUUUUGCCCUCUCUGGUGUUUGUCUUGUUUUUAAGGAUGCUCAAGAUCCAUCAGUGACAGUGAGCUUUCCACUGGAUGAAGAGGCAAGUGUUUCUCUUGUUGCUGGGACCACGACUCCUUGGACCUUGCCCAGUAAUCUGUCCCUUGUGUUAAUGCAGAGUUGCAAUAUGUAGAAUGGAGAGAGAGUGCCACAGGACAGAUUUCCAUUUGGAUGGAAUCCAGGCUGGUAGCACUGCAUAAACCUGAAAGUGAAUAGGAAAUACUUGACAGGAUGAUGACAGAGUCUGCAUGGACUUGAAUAGAAUUCAGAAGGGUGCUGUAGCUGUUUGUGCCGUCGAUGCAUCUGGCUGCUUCACAGCAGAGGUGGCUGACUUGGCUGGACAGUAUGUGAAGGAUGCAGAUAAGAACAUCACUAAAGUACUGAAAGAGAAAGGGAGCCUGGUUCACAGCAGUAGUUUUAAGCACAGCUCUCCUUUCUGCUGGAGGUCUGAUACUCUGCUGAUAGACAAAGCUGUGCCAAGCUGGUUUGUAAGAGUGGAACACAUGGUGGAGAAACUGCUGGAAUGUAAUGCCCAAUGCUACUGUAUGUGACCUUGCCUGAGUUGCCUGCUGUUGUGGUCUUCAAAGAUGGAGCUUCCUUUGUUUCUGAUGAGUGUGAAGAUGGUGAUUUGUCAUCCUGGAUAAACAGAGCAAGAUUUCAAGGGUAUCUUCAUGUGGAUGGCUUUACACUUCAUGAACUUGGAGACAGAGGUGAAAACAAGAGAGCAGCAAGACAGGAAGCACAAAAGCAAACCUCUCUCAUGAAGGAAACAGCACAACUGCAAGCACAGCUUUAAGCACAGCAUACCAAGGAGGAAAAGAAAUCCCAAGCAGAGCAAAGGGGAGGAGUGGCUUAGAGAAAAGCAAAAGCACCCCACAAAGGACACAGCCAAAACACCACCCCACAAAGGACACAGCCAACCUACCCCCGCAAAGGGGAUCAGCCAAAGGCUUCUGCCUCUCCUGGGGCAGCUUAAAAAGGGGAGGUCAAUUGAAGUCUCCUCCCACCCCAGCUGUGGCCACUUUGCCCUCCCUGCUCAGUGCCCUUUAUAAGCAGAGCAGGAGGAGCCCAGCCCCAAGCUGGGCCCAUUGCGGGCCAAGGGAUCCUCCGCCUGGCAUCCCAGAAAGCAGGAGUCAGCCACCUGCCACCCAUCCCCUCCUGACCCCAACCCCAGAAACCCAAAGCAGCACUUGGCACAGGAGGUCUCUCGUGUUGCAGUCUCAACUUCAAGCCCUGGAAUACUUUGCUUCAGCCAGCAGCAUGGGGUUGGAUACCAACAGCAGAGUCGACUUAACCUGUGACUAAGUGAACUUUAAGUGUUCUGACUCCACAGUGGAACCUGAUAAAGAAAGAUGUGAAUGGAA